AUGAACGCUGGCGGCGUGCCUAAUACCUGCAAGUCGAACGCUGGAGAUCUAGCUUGCUAGAUCGAAGGAGUGGCGAACGGGUGAGUAAUACAUAAGCAACCUACCCACGAAGACUGGGAUAAUCUCUGGAAACGGGGACUAAUACCGGAUAGGUAAUCGGAAGGCAUCUUCUGGUUAUUAAAGGUUAAAAACACUGGUGGAUGGGCUUAUGGCGCAUUAGUUAGUUGGUGAGGUAACGGCCCACCAAGACGAUGAUGCGUAGCCGGCCUGAGAGGGUGAACGGCCACAUUGGGACUGAGACACGGCCCAGACUCCUACGGGAGGCAGCAGUAGGGAAUUUUCGGCAAUGGGGGCAACCCUGACCGAGCAACGCCGCGUGAGUGAAGACGGCCUUCGGGUUGUAAAGCUCUGUUGUAAGGGAAGAACGGUAGAUAGAGAAUAUCUAAGUGACGGUACCUUACCAGAAAGCCACGGCUAACUACGUG
This 485-nucleotide ribosomal RNA is filed under the name uncultured bacterium. Its description in RNAcentral is "partial 16S ribosomal RNA". It matches the Rfam family "Bacterial small subunit ribosomal RNA", at positions 29 to 507 of the family's 1533-position model. The record is from RNAcentral.